Molecule: small RNA, 36 nt
Filed under: Bombyx mori (domestic silkworm)
Lineage: Eukaryota; Metazoa; Arthropoda; Insecta; Lepidoptera; Bombycidae
Description: ovarian small RNA-14013
Source: RNAcentral
CCUGAAAUAGGAGUUUUCAAAACCGCAUGAUGAGGC